AUUGAACGCUGGCGGCAUGCUUUACACAUGCAAGUCGAGCGGCAGCGCGGGGGCAACCCUGGCGGCGAGCGGCGAACGGGUGAGUAAUGCAUCGGAACGUACCCUGGAGUGGGGGAUAACGCCGCGAAAGCGGCGCUAAUACCGCAUAUGCUCUGAGGAGGAAAGUGGGGGACCGCAAGGCCUCACGCUCUGGGAGCGGCCGAUGUCCGAUUAGCUAGUUGGUGAGGUAAAGGCUUACCAAGGCGACGAUCGGUAGCUGGUCUGAGAGGAUGAUCAGCCACACUGGGACUGAGACACGGCCCAGACUCCUACGGGAGGCAGCAGUGGGGAAUUUUGGACAAUGGGGGCAACCCUGAUCCAGCCAUGCCGCGUGAGUGAAGAAGGCCUC
This 388-nucleotide ribosomal RNA is filed under the name uncultured bacterium. RNAcentral's name for it is "bacterial SSU rRNA". It matches the Rfam family "Bacterial small subunit ribosomal RNA", at positions 29 to 418 of the family's 1533-position model. The record is from RNAcentral.